RNAcentral lists this ribosomal RNA (433 nucleotides) under uncultured bacterium. Its description in RNAcentral is "partial 16S ribosomal RNA". It matches the Rfam family "Bacterial small subunit ribosomal RNA", at positions 29 to 507 of the family's 1533-position model. The record is from RNAcentral.
AACGAACGCUGGCGGCAUGCCUAACACAUGCAAGUCGAACGAACCCUUCGGGUCCUGUGUCGCCCGGGUGCGUCACGCGUGGGAACCUUCCCUUAGGUUCGGCAUAACUCUCCGACAGGGGUGCUAAUACCGGAUAAUGUCUUCUGCCCAAAGAUUUAUCGCCUUUGGUUGGGCGCGCGUUGGAUUCGCUUUUUGGUAGGGUAAAAGCCUACCACGGCGACGAUCCAUAGCUGGUCAGAGAGGAUGCUCAGCCACACUGAGACUGAGACACGGCCCAGACUCAUACGGGAGGCAGGAGUGGGGAAUAGUGGAAAAUGGGCGAAAGCCUGAUGGAGCAAGGACGCGUGAGUGAUGAAGGUAGUAGGGUUGUAAAGCGCAUUUAACCGGGAUGAUAAUGACAGUACCGGGAGAAUAAGCUCCGGCUAACUACGUG